CUACGGGGUGCUCCAGUAAGGAAUAUUGCGCAAUGGAGGCAACUCUGACGCAGCCAUGCCGCGUGCAGGAAGAAGGCCUUAUGGGUCGUAAACUGCUUUUAUUUAGGAAUAAACCCCCGAACGUGUUCGGGGCUGAAGGUACUAAACGAAUAAGCACCGGCUAACUCCGUGCCAGCGCCGCGGUAAUACGGAGGGUGCAAGCGUUAUCCGGAUUUAUUGGGUUUAAAGGGUGCGCAGGCGGGCAAUUAAGUCAGUGGUGAAAUCCCGGGGCUCAACUCCGGAACUGCCAUUGAUACUGAUAGUCUUGAGUUUGGUUGAAGUGGGCGGAAUGUAGCAUGUAGCGGUGAAAUGCAUAGAUAUGCUACAGAACACCAAUCGCGAAGGCAGCUCACUAAGCCAAAACUGACGCUCAUGCACGAAAGCGUGGGGAUCAAACAGGAUUAGAUACCCGCGUAGUC
RNAcentral lists this ribosomal RNA (458 nucleotides) under uncultured bacterium. RNAcentral describes it as "partial 16S ribosomal RNA". It matches the Rfam family "Bacterial small subunit ribosomal RNA", at positions 339 to 795 of the family's 1533-position model. The record is from RNAcentral.